GCCGGGGUAGUAGGAGGCCUGCCCGCGGUUGUCGGCCGCGGGGCGCCGGGAUUCCGGUCCGGUACCGGCCCCGGAACC
Molecule: transfer RNA, 78 nt
Filed under: Streptomyces lavendulae subsp. lavendulae
Lineage: Bacteria; Bacillati; Actinomycetota; Actinomycetes; Kitasatosporales; Streptomycetaceae
Description: tRNA-Asp
Source: RNAcentral